UUAAUGAGUAAUUUUUCCAUAAUUAUUGUGAUUAUUAAUUGAUCACCCUUCUCACACUUUAUUUUAAUUUCUCUACCAUAUGAUUAAUUCCCACAUUUUGCCAAGUGUGGAGAUUGAGAGAGUAGAGAUUUAGAGAGUAGAGAUUAGAGAGAGUGUAGAGAUUAGAGAGAGAGAGAUCAAGGCAUUAAUGCCAAAUAUUCUAUAAGAUUCACAAAUAUUUCCAAAGAUUAGCCAAAUCCAAGCAUAUCUUGCAAAAUCCUCUCUCACUCCUCACUCCCUAAUUUUCGACCACCUCUCUCUCCUUCAUCUCUCUACUUUCCACCAUUGUCAACCAUGGAUGAGACCUCCGAAGCUUCACCAAAAUAUGCCAAACACAUAAAUCACCAACAAAAUCCCACCUAAACACCUCCUAUCAACUUGAAUCCAAGGAAAUCCUUGAAGGUUGGCUUCAAGACUAGUGAGAGAAAGUUUGAUAUUUGGUGUAAACUUGGACACAAGCAGAGCAAGGAAGUAAGUAACUCCGCUUUGACGGGAGAUUUUGAGUAAGGUCUUCAGGCUAAGCGAGGAGUGAGAUUGGUCUGGUGCUGAUGGGGGAUCGUUAGUUGAUGUAUUUACUUUAUCGUAUUUCUUUUUUUUAUCGAUAAAGUCUCGAUGUGAAGUUACUUUGAAUAUGAAUCAAGUAAUAUACUCACGGUUAUGUGUCUUCAUACAUAUGAUCGGUUCGCCUUUUGCUGCGAUACUCUGCAUAUUAU
Long non-coding RNA from Salvia miltiorrhiza (redroot sage), 752 nucleotides. RefSeq lists it as uncharacterized. The transcript is spliced from 3 exons. The record is from RefSeq and is a predicted model, not a curated record. Lineage: Eukaryota; Viridiplantae; Streptophyta; Magnoliopsida; Lamiales; Lamiaceae.